This 1027-nucleotide long non-coding RNA is filed under the name Anser brachyrhynchus (Pink-footed goose). RNAcentral describes it as "lncRNA (ENSABRG00000009023.1)". Lineage: Eukaryota; Metazoa; Chordata; Aves; Anseriformes; Anatidae. The record is from RNAcentral.
GUAAAGGACCCCAUGGAAGACCAAGAAACUACACCAAUAUAAAUGGAAGAGAAUUUAUAGUCUUUUAAAUCUCUCCAGAUUGCCCAAAUUAUGCUCAUGCUGAAAUGAAAAGGGCUUCUCUCCUCAGGGGCAUACAGGGUGAAAAGUUGGCUUUAUUGACUCCCUGUUUGAGCCACGAUGCAGGAGGUCUCUGCACAGUGAAUCAGGGGGAGAACGGGGCUGCCUCUCCACUCAUGCCUCCUCUGAGAGCAAACGUGCCAGGCAAGUACAAGCCUUAUCAGACGUCCGAGAACCCACCAAGCUGCAGACCACACCUGACCUUCCCCAAAGACACAAAACCAUGGGGAACCACUCUCCAUUAUUUCUAGAUCUGCUGCCUGUGGGCCUGCUUGUCCUUUAAACUGGAUGGUGGAGGAGCCCAUUCAGAGCCACUGUUCUUGUUGCAGUCACUCUUCAUUACUGCUCCCAGUCACAGUCAGUAAAAUAAGGGGAACCCUCUGAGACACUGGAUGCCAGCAGAAAAUUAUCAACAGCCUGGUGUUUAAUAGCAGCUCUGCUCGUAACUACUGUGUAUGUUUUUUUUUCUCUGUGAAAUGUGAUUUCUUUAGGAUAGUGAUUAUAAAGCACUGUGUUUGCUACAGAACUACCACAGUAAUAAAAAUAAUAAUACAAUCAAAUGGCAAUGCUAAUAGUGCCUUCCUUUCACAGAUCUGAAGUUUAAUGACUCAAACCUGGCAGCACUCUGGGAGACUUGAAAAAAAAGAGGUUUUCCUUGCUGUUAAAAAGGGCAAAUUAACACACAGAUGGAUUAAAUGGCGAUUCCUUCAAAGGCAGGAGCAGAACCUGCAGCCAAGGUGGGGAAACAACCCCAGUUUUCAGACCAGUGGUUACAUGCUGCCCUUCUCAGUGGUAUCAUCUUAUCAAGGAGACUCAUCACAACACACUUCUCUGUGCCAACCAGAAAAGUUGUACCAGCAUAAAACAGAGAGAGAAGGUAUCACCCUGUAACUCGAGGUGCUGUGAGGCU